This 50-nucleotide small nucleolar RNA is filed under the name Pyrobaculum aerophilum str. IM2. RNAcentral's name for it is "PAEsR20". The record is from RNAcentral. Lineage: Archaea; Thermoproteati; Thermoproteota; Thermoprotei; Thermoproteales; Thermoproteaceae.
GUGAUGACGUGGUUCUUCGUAGACAUGUGAAGACGCCCCUACCCAGCUGA